Molecule: microRNA precursor, 145 nt
Filed under: Gossypium arboreum
Lineage: Eukaryota; Viridiplantae; Streptophyta; Magnoliopsida; Malvales; Malvaceae
Description: MIR7502 microRNA precursor family
Rfam family: MIR7502 microRNA precursor family
Source: Rfam by way of RNAcentral
UGUUAAAAUUUUCAUCUAUUUUUAGUGUUAAAAAAUGGUAUAACUGAUAACAUAACCAAACAAUAACAUGUGAUAUGCUAUAUAUACCUCGUGCUAAUGUACAUAGACAAGUUUUUAAUUAUAGAGAUGAAUGAUGUUUUCAAUA